GACGAACGCUGGCGGCGUGCCUAAUACAUGCAAGUAGAACGCACAGUUUAUACCGUAGCUUGCUACGCCAUAGACUGUGAGUUGCGAACGGGUGAGUAACGCGUAGGUAACCUGCCUGGUAGCGGGGGAUAACUAUUGGAAACGAUAGCUAAUACCGCAUAAUAUUGAUUAUUGCAUGAUAAUUGAUUGAAAGAUGCUAUUGCAUCACUACCAGAUGGACCUGCGUUGUAUUAGCUAGUAGGUGAGGUAACGGCUCACCUAGGCGACGAUACAUAGCCGACCUGAGAGGGUGAUCGGCCACACUGGGACUGAGACACGGCCCAGACUCCUACGGGAGGCAGCAGUAGGGAAUCUUCGGCAAUGGACGAAAGUCUGACCGAGCAACGCCGCGUGAGUGAAGAAGGUUUUCGGAUCGUAAAGCUCUGUUGUAAGAGAAGAACGGGUGUGAGAGUGGAAAGUUCACACUGUGACGGUAUCUUACCAGAAAGGGACGGCUAACUACGUG
RNAcentral lists this ribosomal RNA (505 nucleotides) under uncultured bacterium. Its description in RNAcentral is "partial 16S ribosomal RNA". It matches the Rfam family "Bacterial small subunit ribosomal RNA", at positions 28 to 507 of the family's 1533-position model. The record is from RNAcentral.